RNAcentral lists this unclassified non-coding RNA (305 nucleotides) under plant metagenome. RNAcentral describes it as "partial contains 5.8S ribosomal RNA, internal transcribed spacer 2, and large subunit ribosomal RNA". The stretch from base 1 to 105 matches the Rfam family "5.8S ribosomal RNA", at positions 50 to 154 of the family's 154-position model. The record is from RNAcentral.
GAAAUGCGAUAAGUAGUGUGAAUUGCAGAAUUCAGUGAAUCAUCGAAUCUUUGAACGCACAUUGCGCCCUUUGGUAUUCCUUAGGGCAUGCCUGUUCGAGCGUCAUCUAAACCUUCAAGCCCUGCUUGGUGUUGGGUGCCUGUCCCGCCUCCGCGCGCGGACUCACCUCAAAUCCAUUGGCGGCCCCCGCGUCGGCCACGAGCGCAGCAGAAACGCGAACUCGUGAGCCCGUCCGGGCGGCUCCCAGAAGCUACACCCACCCAGUUUGACCUCGGAUCAGGUAGGGAUACCCGCCGAACUUAAGC